UGAAUACGAGACGCUAAGGCGUCGAAGUAGUGUAUGUCAUACUUCCAAGAAAAGCUUGCACUGUCAUAGAUAAAAAACGCCUGUACCAUAACCGACACAGGUGGGUAGGUAGAGUAUACUAAGGGGCGCGAGAUAACUCUCUCUAAGGAACUCGGCAAAAUAACUCCGUAACUUCGGGAGAAGGAGUGCCUUAUUCGUAAGGUUGCAAUAACAAGAUCCAAGCAACUGUUUAUCAAAAACACAGGUCUCCGCUAAGUCGUAAGACGAUGUAUGGGGGCUGACGCCUGCCCAGUGCCAGAAGGUUAAAGAAGUUGGUUAGCAAUUGCGAAGCUGAUAACUGAAGCCCUGGUGAACGGCGGCCGUAACUAUAACGGUCCUAAGGUAGCGAAAUUCCUUGUCGGGUAAGUUCCGACUCGCACGAAAGGCGUAAUGAUUUGGAUACUGUCUCGGAGAGGGGCUCGGUGAAAUAGACUUGUCUGUGAAGAUGCGGACUACCUGCACCAGGACAGAAAGACCCUAUGAAGCUUUACUGUAACUUGAAAUUGAAAUUGGACUUUAUUCGCGCAGUAUAGGUGGGAGGCGUUGAUUAUAAUCUUGUGGGAUUAUUGGAGCCAUCAGUGAGAUACCACUCUUGUAAUGUUAGAUUUCUAACUUUGAAUCAUUAUCUGGUCAAAGAACAGUUUCAGGCGGGCAGUUUGACUGGGGCGGUCGCCUCCUAAACGGUAACGGAGGCGUACAAAGGUUUCCUCUGAACGGUUAGAAAUCGUAUCUAGAGUGUAAAGGCAUAAGGAAGCUUGACUGUGAGACCUACAAGUCGAGCAGGGACGAAAGUCGGUCUUAGUGAUCUGACGGUACUGAGUGGAAAGGCCGUCACUCAACGGAUAAAAGUUACUCUAAGGAUAACAGGCUGAUCUCCCCCAAGAGUUCACAUCGACGGGGAGGUUUGGCACCUUGAUGUCGGCUCAUCGCAUCCUGGGGCGGUAGUACGUCCCAAGGGUUGGGCUGUUCGCCCAUGAAAGCGGUACGCGAGCUGGGUUCAGAACGUCGUGAGACAGUUCGGUCCAUAUCCGGUGUAGGCGUUAGAAUAUUGAGAGGAGCCUUCUUUAGUACGAGAGGACCGAGAAGGACAUACCUCUGGUGUACCAGUUAUCGUGCCAACGGUAAACGCUGGGUAGCUAUGUAUGGAGUGGAUAACCGCUGAAAGCAUCUAAGUGGGAAGCCCACCUCAAGAUAAGUAUUCUC
This 1242-nucleotide ribosomal RNA is filed under the name metagenome. RNAcentral's name for it is "bacterial LSU rRNA". It matches the Rfam family "Bacterial large subunit ribosomal RNA", at positions 1564 to 2815 of the family's 2925-position model. The record is from RNAcentral.